AGUGAACGCUGGCGGUAGGCCUAACACAUGCAAGUCGAACGGCAGCACAGUAAGAGCUUGCUCUUACGGGUGGCGAGUGGCGGACGGGUGAGGAAUACAUCGGAAUCUACUUUUUCGUGGGGGAUAACGUAGGGAAACUUACGCUAAUACCGCAUACGACCUACGGGUGAAAGCAGGGGAUCUUCGGACCUUGCGCGAUUGAAUGAGCCGAUGUCGGAUUAGCUAGUUGGCGGGGUAAAGGCCCACCAAGGCGGCGAUCCGUAGCUGGUCUGAGAGGAUGGUCAGCCACACUGGAACUGAGACACGGUACAGACUCCUACGGGAGGCAGCAGUGGGGAAUAUUGGACAAUGGGCGCAAGCCUGAUCCAGCCAUACCGCGUGGGUGAAGAAGGCCUUCGGGUUGUAAAGCCUUUUUGUUGGGAAAGAAAAGCAGCAGGUUAAUACCCCGCUGUUCUGACGGUACCCAAAGAAUAAGCACCGGCUAACUUCGUG
This 492-nucleotide ribosomal RNA is filed under the name uncultured bacterium. RNAcentral describes it as "partial 16S ribosomal RNA". It matches the Rfam family "Bacterial small subunit ribosomal RNA", at positions 29 to 507 of the family's 1533-position model. The record is from RNAcentral.